Molecule: ribosomal RNA, 554 nt
Filed under: uncultured bacterium
Lineage: Bacteria
Description: bacterial SSU rRNA
Rfam family: Bacterial small subunit ribosomal RNA
Source: RNAcentral
GAGCCGCGUGAGGGAUGAACGCCUUCGUGUUGUAAACCUCUUUCAGCAGGGAAUAACGAAAGUGAAGGUACCUGCAGAAGAAGCACCGGCUAACUAUGUGCCAGCAGCCGCGGUAAUACAUAGGGUGCAAGCGUUGUCCGGAAUUAUUGGGCGUAAAGAGCUCGUAGGUGGUCGAUCACGUCGGAUGUGAAAAUCUGAGGCUUAACCUCAGACCUGCAUUCGAUACGGGUUGACUAGAGUGUGGUAGGGGAGACUGGAAUUCCUGGUGUAGCGGUGGAAUGCGCAGAUAUCAGGAGGAACACCGAUGGCGAAGGCAGGUCUCUGGGCCAUUACUGACACUGAGGAGCGAAAGUGUGGGGAGCGAACAGGAUUAGAUACCCUGGUAGUCCACACCGUAAACGGUGGGCGCUAGUUGUGGGAACCUUCCACGGUUUCUGCGACGCAGUUAACGCAUUAAGCGCCCCGGCUGGGGAGUACGGUCGCAAGACUAAAACUCAAAGAAAUUGACGGGGCCCCGCACAAGCAGCGGAGCAUGCGGCUUAAUUCGACGCAAC